AAUAGUCAAUUAAUAUGACAUUAAAUUGCAAAUUUAAAAGAAUAUUU
RNAcentral lists this transfer RNA (47 nucleotides) under Bradysia impatiens. RNAcentral's name for it is "tRNA-Cys". Lineage: Eukaryota; Metazoa; Arthropoda; Insecta; Diptera; Sciaridae. The record is from RNAcentral.